UGAGCAGACCAAGACUCUGCUGCUUUUACUGAAAUGCCAUCAUAAUCUCCUCCCUCCUUCCUUCCCUCUCUUUGCAAUUUUAUGAACUCCCUUGUUCAUCGCUGUAUUCAUCUUCUUCCCAAAUAUAAAAACUGAAAUAAGAAACAACCAAGAUAUCAGAUUAUCAAGGUGAUUCAAAUAAAAAAUUGGUUUAUCAAGUGAGUGGAUUCGGAUUAACAUUUUUUCUCCUUGUCUUCGAUAAAUACUCCAUUACGCUGUCUUGAAUCUUGAUUAUGCGAUGCUGGCCUCCAAGAAAGCUUUGGAUAAGCUUUACCGUCAUUACACUCUAUUGUCUAAUCCUACCUAUUUCCCCUUGAUGAUUAAUUCGGAUAAUAGCUGCUGCUUCCAUGGAAACACCUCGUUUCAAUCGAAUUUCUCUUUAAAAGGUGCCAAUGAAUCACAAGGGACAAUGUUAUGGAGUGGACAAAGACGAAAUAUAUCUCGAGUUGGUUUGCAAUGGAACUCUAUGGAAAUUGAUAAUGUUUCUUGUCAUGAUUGGCAUUUGUCAAAACGCUAUUAUAACUCUAACCCAAAUGACAAACACUCCAGGGAAUUUGCAAAUAAGCUUUUAAAAAGCAUUCCAGAAUAUGUUAAGAUAGUGGAAGUAGGUCCGAGGGAUGGAUUACAGAAUGAAAAGGAGAUUGUACCUACUGCUGUAAAGGUUGAGUUGAUUAGGAUGCUAGUUUCUUCAGGGUUGCCUGUUGUUGAGGCUACAAGUUUUGUCUCGCCAAAAUGGGUACCACAGCUAGCAGAUGCGAAAGACGUAAUGGCAGCAGUUAGGAAUUUUGAAGGAGCUCGACUUCCAGUAUUAACUCCUAAUCUGAAAGGUUUUGAAGCAGCUGUUGCAGCUGGAGCUAAAGAAGUUGCCAUAUUUGCGUCAGCUUCAGAAUCUUUUUCAAAGUCGAAUAUCAAUUGCACCAUUGAAGAUAGUUUGGUUCGUUAUAACGAUGUUUCCCUUGCUGCCAACAAGCUCUCAAUUCCUGUUCGUGGAUAUAUAUCAUGUGUUGUGGGGUGUCCUGUCGAAGGAAUGGUAUCUCCAUCAAAUGUUGCAUAUGUGGCUAAACGACUUUAUGAAAUGGGUUGCUCUGAAAUUUCCCUGGGGGAUACAAUUGGUGUCGGUACUCCUGGUACUGUCAUUCCAAUGCUUGAAGCUGUUCUCGAUGUUGUCCCUAUCGAUAAGCUUGCUGUCCACUUUCAUGACACUUAUGGCCAAGCUCUGUCAAAUAUUCUCGCAUCACUCCAAAUGGGGAUCAACACUGUUGAUUCAUCAGUCUCUGGUCUGGGGGGUUGCCCAUAUGCUAAGGGGGCUUCUGGUAAUGUUGCUACUGAAGAUGUCAUUUACAUGCUCAAUGGCCUCGGAGUUGAGACCAACGUAGAUCUCCAACAGGUCAUGUUGGCAGGGAAUUACAUCUGCAAGCAUCUGGGACGCUCAUCUGGCUCAAAGACAGCUACUGCCUUGAGCAAAAUCACAGCUCAUGCAUCUAAACUUUGAUGUAUACAGAAUCGCGUUAUCAGUUUCCAUCGAGAUGCAUGUGAAAAUGUACUGCUUUCAUAAUAAAGUAUAAUCACAGAUAGUCGAUGACACUCGGCUGAACGUAUUCUGAUACUAAUGACAGGUGAACUUCUGAAGUGGAUACAUUACUUUUGGGGUAUCACUUUGUAAGAAACAUUUGAUAUAAUCUUUCUUAAGGUGCUGCACAUUCUAGUAAGAAUGGAGCCGUUGGGUGUUUAUGAAACUAUUACUCUUCCAAUAUGAAUAAUGCUGUAUCUUUGGAUUCUGGGGAUGUGUUGUAUGAAGCAAAAAAGAUAACACAGCACUUCAAAACCUUGGGAGGAAAUUUAUUAGUAAUGAAAAUGUUGGCCCUCAGGUAGGGUCUCUCCAAA
Molecule: non-coding RNA, 1923 nt
Organism: Jatropha curcas
Lineage: Eukaryota; Viridiplantae; Streptophyta; Magnoliopsida; Malpighiales; Euphorbiaceae
Source: RefSeq, a predicted model, not a curated record